CAGCCAGGAAAGACGGAUGUCCUGGGGAGGUAGAGGGGGUGGUCUGAGUUUGGAUAUGGACUGAAAAACCAAGGGGAGAGGGCGACAAGAUUUUCCAAAUAUCUUAUUUUUACAAUCAUCACUUCCUAAGCUGAUGCAACUGACUCAGCAGACGUUCAGGAACCUGCCUUCUCCAUUUUCCUAUCCGAAAAUCCUCUGCACCUUGUUUGGAUUGGCUGUUGGCCAAGGCAACUGAGGAGCAUUUCCAAAAAGCAGGAAAGGCUCUGAUCAAGGAAUCUGCACUCAGAUACAUAAAACAACCCUGCCUGGCCCAGCCAUCCCCAGACCACCCAGGGCAGUUGGACUCAAAGGGAUCGUCCACUGAUGGUAGAGAUAGUGG
This is a long non-coding RNA of Cervus elaphus (red deer), 379 nucleotides long. RefSeq lists it as uncharacterized. The record is from RefSeq and is a predicted model, not a curated record. Lineage: Eukaryota; Metazoa; Chordata; Mammalia; Artiodactyla; Cervidae. The transcript has 3 exons.